Hibiscus syriacus is the source of this 152-nucleotide long non-coding RNA. RefSeq lists it as uncharacterized. Lineage: Eukaryota; Viridiplantae; Streptophyta; Magnoliopsida; Malvales; Malvaceae. The record is from RefSeq and is a predicted model, not a curated record. The transcript has 3 exons.
GACUAGAAGAAGAAGAAGAACUUUAAAAUAGAUUAGCAUAACUCAUUAUUUCUUGGGCACUUCAAAGCAGGUAAGGUAUAGAAUUUUCUUAAGCUGUUGCAAUGGGAGCCGUUGUUUCUCUGGCGUUCAUGGCUUCGAACCUCAGUUCCGAA